Molecule: ribosomal RNA, 253 nt
Filed under: uncultured bacterium
Lineage: Bacteria
Description: partial 16S ribosomal RNA
Rfam family: Archaeal small subunit ribosomal RNA
Source: RNAcentral
UACCCGCAGCACAAGUGGUGGUCAUUAUUAUUGGGCCUAAAGCGUCCGUAGCUGGCUUGUUAGAUGCCUGGGUAAAUCGAUGCGCUUAACGCAUCGAAUUCCGGGUAGACCGGCAAGCUCGAGACCGGGAGAGGUGUAGGGUACUCGGGGGGUAGGGGUAAAAUCCUGUAAUCCUCCGGGGACGACCAGUGGCGAAGGCGCUACACUAGAACGGCUCUGACAGUGAGGGACGAAGCCCUGGGGCGCAAACCGG